UUGAUCCUGGCUCAGGAUGAACGCUAGCUACAGGCUUAACACAUGCAAGUCGAGGGGCAGCAUGGUCUUAGCUUGCUAAGGCCGAUGGCGACCGGCGCACGGGUGAGUAACACGUAUCCAACCUGCCGUCUACUCUUGGACAGCCUUCUGAAAGGAAGAUUAAUACAAGAUGGCAUCAUGAGUCCGCAUGUUCACAUGAUUAAAGGUAUUCCGGUAGACGAUGGGGAUGCGUUCCAUUAGAUAGUAGGCGGGGUAACGGCCCACCUAGUCUUCGAUGGAUAGGGGUUCUGAGAGGAAGGUCCCCCACAUUGGAACUGAGACACGGUCCAAACUCCUACGGGAGGCAGCAGUGAGGAAUAUUGGUCAAUGGGCGAGAGCCUGAACCAGCCAAGUAGCGUGAAGGAUGACUGCCCUAUGGGUUGUAAACUUCUUUUAUAAAGGAAUAAAGUCGGGUAUGGAUACCCGUUUGCAUGUACUUUAUGAAUAAGGAUCGGCUAACUCCGUGCCAGCAGCCGCGGUAAUACGGAGGAUCCGAGCGUUAUCCGGAUUUAUUGGGUUUAAAGGGAGCGUAGAUGGAUGUUUAAGUCAGUUGUGAAAGUUUGCGGCUCAACCGUAAAAUUGCAGUUGAUACUGGAUAUCUUGAGUGCAGUUGAGGCAGGCGGAAUUCGUGGUGUAGCGGUGAAAUGCUUAGAUAUCACGAAGAACUCCGAUUGCGAAGGCAGCCUGCUAAGCUGCAACUGACAUUGAGGCUCGAAAGUGUGGGUAUCAAACAGGAUUAGAUACCCUGGUAGUCCACACGGUAAACGAUGAAUACUCGCUGUUUGCGAUAUACAGCAAGCGGCCAAGCGAAAGCGUUAAGUAUUCCACCUGGGGAGUACGCCGGCAACGGUGAAACUCAAAGGAAUUGACGGGGGCCCGCACAAGCGGAGGAACAUGUGGUUUAAUUCGAUGAUACGCGAGGAACCUUACCCGGGCUUAAAUUGCAGAUGAAUUACGGUGAAAGCCGUAAGCCGCAAGGCAUCUGUGAAGGUGCUGCAUGGUUGUCGUCAGCUCGUGCCGUGAGGUGUCGGCUUAAGUGCCAUAACGAGCGCAACCCUUGUUGUCAGUUACUAACAGGUUCCGCUGAGGACUCUGACAAGACUGCCAUCGUAAGAUGUGAGGAAGGUGGGGAUGACGUCAAAUCAGCACGGCCCUUACGUCCGGGGCUACACACGUGUUACAAUGGGGGGUACAGAGGGCCGCUACCACGCGAGUGGAUGCCAAUCCCCAAAACCUCUCUCAGUUCGGACUGGAGUCUGCAACCCGACUCCACGAAGCUGGAUUCGCUAGUAAUCGCGCAUCAGCCACGGCGCGGUGAAUACGUUCCCGGGCCU
RNAcentral lists this ribosomal RNA (1373 nucleotides) under uncultured bacterium. RNAcentral describes it as "bacterial SSU rRNA". It matches the Rfam family "Bacterial small subunit ribosomal RNA", at positions 13 to 1381 of the family's 1533-position model. The record is from RNAcentral.